AGCAGUAGCCGCGGUAAUACGAAGGGUGCAAGCGUUACUCGGAAUUACUGGGCGUAAAUCGUGCGUAGGCGGUUGUUUAAGUCUGCUGUGAAAGCCCUGGGCUCAACCUGGGAAUUGCAGUGGAUACUGGGCAACUAGAGUAAGGUAGAGGAUAGUGGAAUUUCCGGUGUAGCAGUGAAAUGCGUAGAGAUCGGAAGGAACAUCUGUGGCGAAGGCGACUAUCUGGGCCAUUACUGACACUGAGGCACGAAAGCGUGGGGAGCAAACAGGAUUAGAUACCCCUGUAGUCCCUGUCUCUUAUAU
Molecule: ribosomal RNA, 303 nt
Filed under: uncultured bacterium
Lineage: Bacteria
Description: partial 16S ribosomal RNA
Rfam family: Bacterial small subunit ribosomal RNA
Source: RNAcentral